AGCAGCCGCGGUAAUUCCAGCUCCAAUAGCGUAUAUUAAAGUUGUUGCAGUUAAAAAGCUCGUAGUUGAAUUUCGGGGUCAGUAGGUCGGUCGUGCCACUGGUAUGAACUGGUUUUACUGAUUCCUCCCUCUUGAAGAACUGUAAUGCCAUUAAUUUGGUGUUGCAGGGAAUCAGGACUGUUACUUUGAAAAAUUAGAGUGUUUAAAGCAGGCUCUAGCUUGAAUACAUUAGCAUGGAAUAAUGAAAUAGGACGUUUGAUCCUAUUUUGUUGGUUUCUAGGAUUGACGUAAUGAUUAAUAGGGAUAGUUGGGGGCAUUAGUAUUCAAUUGUCAGAGGUGAAAUUCUUGGAUUUAUUGAAGACUAACUACUGCGAAAGCAUUUGCCAAGGAUGUUUUCAUUAAUCAAGAACGAAAGUUAGGGGAUCGAAGACGAUCAGAUACC
This 442-nucleotide ribosomal RNA is filed under the name uncultured Glomus. RNAcentral's name for it is "SSU rRNA". It matches the Rfam family "Eukaryotic small subunit ribosomal RNA", at positions 569 to 1016 of the family's 1831-position model. Lineage: Eukaryota; Fungi; Glomeromycota; Glomeromycetes; Glomerales; Glomeraceae. The record is from RNAcentral.